Molecule: unclassified non-coding RNA, 3341 nt
Filed under: Hevea brasiliensis (rubber tree)
Lineage: Eukaryota; Viridiplantae; Streptophyta; Magnoliopsida; Malpighiales; Euphorbiaceae
Source: RNAcentral
UUUCUCUCUCUCUCUCUGUCUCUCCCCCACAAAAGAAAAUGACGUGAUACCCAGUUUCCAGCUGAUGCUCCGGUCACUGUUCGAAGUAUUUUUUUUAUCUUGCUUUUCCACUGCUUUUCCUUAAUUUUCUCCGGAAAAUCUAUCAAAGGGUCUUAGAAACAGCGUUGGUGAGACUCACUUUCCUAUUGGGUUUUCAGUGAGAUCAUUUCGCGGUGGUUUGUUGCUUGGUUGAUUUGAUCUUCGCGUUCUUUUUGUUUUUGGGUUUUCUUUCAUGUUAUUGUGACGACAAAAUAGACUUGCAUAUGGCAUAGAUAUCCAUUUUAUGUAAAUCAUAGUUUAUUGGGUCUUUAAAUGAUUUAAUCAAGGAAUGUAUAAGAACCAAUUGCAAGAGUUGGCUCAAAGAAGCUGCUUCAAUUUGCCAUCUUAUUCUUGUAUAAGGGAAGGACCUGAUCAUGCCCCUCGAUUCAAAGCUACUGUCAAUUUCAAUGGAGAGACUUUUGAAAGUCCUGCCUUUUGCUCUACUCUGAGGCAGGCAGAACAUGCGGCUGCUGAGGUAGCACUCACCACACUUGCAAGCAGAGGCCCUUCCAGAGCAUUAGCUGCUAGAGUUCUGGAUGAAACUGGAGUCUACAAGAAUUUGCUUCAAGAGACUGCUCACAGAGCUGGCUUAAAGCUUCCAGUGUAUACCACUGUACGUUCAGGACCAGGCCAUGUUCCUGUUUUCUCAUGCACAGUUGAACUUGCAGGAAUGAACUUUACUGGGGAGCCAGCUAGGACCAAGAAACAAGCUCAGAAGAAUGCAGCAAUGGCUGCAUGGUCUGCCCUAAAAAGAUGUAUGGAUCUCAUCUUUUUGUAAUAAUUUUUGUUCAGAGUGCUCUAGUGUGGUUAGAAUGAGGUUAACACUGCUGCAUCUGCUUUAAACUGGUUAACAAAUCAUUACAGUCACCCAUCUCCUUGAUUCAAUGAGCAUGAAUUUUUCCUUAAGCUGAUAACUGUUGAAGCCAUGGCUGUCAGCCCUACUUCUAUUGCUUCUUUCCUGAAUAGUCAAAAUCUUUGGUAGAUGAUUAAAAUGGCAGUUAUAGUUAGCAGAAAGUGGGGAAGCAACCUAUAGAAUUGUGCAACAAAAAUGUGUGUGCAUUUGUUGUGUGUGUGGGCUCGUUGUAGAGAGAGAUGCCAUAAAGCAGAUGUUCAGCAAUAUUUCAGGCAAGCUGACUUAAAAGUAGGAAGAUUUUCUGAGGUGGGUGGACACAUACUCCCAGUUCCCUCAUUCCACCAACCGUCUGAUAAAUUCCUCUGGAUGUUAUGUUUUCUUGCCAUUACUUAGAAUAGCUUCUUGGAAAUAUAUGUAUUUUUGCCCUUAUCAAUUUCUUUGUUUUCUCUGACAAUGCAUAAGUUGUUACUGAUUGAAAAUUGAUUUCUCUCUUCAAGGUCGGAUGUUGAUGUAAAAUGAGCCUUUGAGUAGGCAAGUUAUUGUGUAUAAGUGGGUACCAUUGUUCUACAUUUGUUUGUAAAGUGAAAAAAAAAUAAAAAUUAAAGGGCACAUAUAUAGGUGAUUUAAGUGAUGAAAAAUGAAAAUGCUCUUUUUCUUCUUCAGAGUUAUGUAACUUGUACCUUAUAAUUAUUUUUGUGGAAUUUUCCAUAUGUUAUCACUCACCUAAAUUUUCAUGGAAAAAUGUGUUGUAUGCACUUGCAGUCUUGCACGCUUCUUAAAAUUUUAUCAGUUGCUUAAUGUGAAGUUAUCUGAAUAUUAAUAUGUUUUUGUAGUGGUUCAACCUGGUUCAUCUUCCAGUUCAUCAUCUUCUUUAGUGGAGAAUAAAAAAGGAGGUGAAGAGCAAGAACAAGUUGUAAUUGCUCGUUUUCUUGCAUCUCUACAACCAUCAGAAUUAAAGAACUCGAAGCAAAGUGAUUGCCAUCCAGGACAGGAGAGAUUUAUCCCUGUAUGCAAGCACUUGACCCCUCCAACACCAAGCUUAUAUCCUAUGCAGUGCCAAAACUGGGUAUAUCCUGGCUUUUCCCAUGAAAUGGCCAUAUACCAAAUGUGGCAGCAAGAACAAUUGUUGCAAUUGCAAAACCGUUUAUUGACGCUUCAAGUUCCACCAGCUCCUCCUCCUGGUCCUCAAAUUCUUCCAUAUAUGCAGUCUAUACUCCCCCCAGAUUCUCCUCUAUUUGUUCCUGUGAGAGAGCAAGAACGGGUACCUGUAGGGCCGAGAAUUACAAUUGCCACAUCAGGACCAUUAUUAUGCUGCUCAGAUAGUGUGGCCUCUGAUCCAAUCAGGGGAAAAUCUACAGUUACCAUUCAGGAGAUGCAUGACGAGAAGACUGAAGAAUUAUCUGAGUGCUCUCCAUCACUGGCUCCAGAUCCCCCUGUUCUCAGCAAAUUCAAGACUGAAGCAAGAUUUAAGGAAACAAAUCAUGAGCAUGACAAACUGAAAAAUGGUGCAAUGGAAAGCAAAGUUGAAAAUGCUCAACUAGGAGAGAACCAUUCUGAGCAAUUUGAACAGGCUUCCCACAGAAGCAUGGAUUCAGGAUACACACAUGUAGGCUUCAGAGUGCAGAACCUAUGUGGUUUUGACUCCACCAAUUCAACUUCACAGUAUCCUCUAAGACUAAGUUGUAGACCACCUCCAUCUGUAGCACCUCCUGUAACAAUCAGAAAUAUGGAGCCUAGACCAUCUGCAGCACCUCCUGUAAGAAUCAGAAAUAUGGGACCGGUUUGUUCAGUUCCCAAACCACAAGAUUUGGCAGCACAAGUUCCAGCUCAACCAAGAAUGAGAACCGGAGGUCCUUCGUAUUCAGCCAGACCACAGCCUCAAAGAAUGGACUUUGGCAGAGUGCAUCCCCGUUCCAUGGCACCAGCAGUUCGAAUAAGAUCAGUUGUACCUGUCUGUUCAGCUCCACCAGCAAGGAAAAUGCCAACCACUGGGCAAGAGGGAGCAUCAACUAGCAAAGAGAAGAAAGAUACGGUACCUGAAGAUGUCUCGACAACAAGUUCAGAACUAGGCAAGCUUGGAACAUGAGCGGAUUACAGACACUACAAUUCAUCUUAUUUUUCUUUUAGUGGUUAGUUUUGCAAUUGAAUUUAUGGUGGUGUUUGGGCACCCAGUGGCAUGUAAUCAGUAUAAAUGGGGAGCAGCUAUAGAUAUUUAUAUAUAAAUAUAUACUUGAAAGUCAUAUUCUUUAAACUUAAUCAGGAUUGAUUCUCCUCAGUUGAUUAUAGUAUGUUUAUAUUUAAAGAUAUUUGAUCAGGUUAUUCCAGGAAAGGAUCGAAUAUCAAUUAUUCUAAAACAUGAAAUCAACAAAGAUGCAAUUUUUGGUAUUACAUUCCCUUUCUCUACUGUUUU